AGUUGCCAUCAGGUAAAGCUGGGAACUCUGGGGAGACUGCCGGUGGAUAAACCGGAGGAAGGCGGGGAUGACGUCAAGUCCUCAUGGCCCUUACAUCCCGGGCUACACACGUGCUACAAUGGCAGGUACAGAGGGUUGCGAAGCCGCGAGGUGGAGCGAAUCCCAGAAAACCUGUCUCAGUCCGGAUUGAAGUCUGCAACUCGACUUCAUGAAGGCGGAAUCGCUAGUAACCGCGAAUCAGCAGGUCGCGGUGAAUACGUUCCCGGGCCUU
RNAcentral lists this ribosomal RNA (271 nucleotides) under uncultured Latescibacterota bacterium. RNAcentral describes it as "uncultured Latescibacteria bacterium partial 16S ribosomal RNA". It matches the Rfam family "Bacterial small subunit ribosomal RNA", at positions 1113 to 1382 of the family's 1533-position model. The record is from RNAcentral. Lineage: Bacteria; Pseudomonadati; Candidatus Latescibacterota.